UACGAGGGGGGCAAGCGUUGUUCGGAAUUAUUGGGCGUAAAGGGCGCGUAGGCGGUGCGGUAAGUCACCUGUGAAAACUCUGGGCUCAACUCAGAGCCUGCAGGCGAAACUGCCGUGCUUGAGUGUGGGAGAGGUGCGUGGAAUUCCCGGUGUAGCGGUGAAAUUCGUAGAUAUUCGGAAGAACACCAGUGGCGAAGGCGACUCACUGGACACGUAUUGACGCUGAGGUGCGAAAGCGUGGGGAGCAAACAGG
This 253-nucleotide ribosomal RNA is filed under the name uncultured bacterium. RNAcentral's name for it is "partial 16S ribosomal RNA". It matches the Rfam family "Bacterial small subunit ribosomal RNA", at positions 524 to 776 of the family's 1533-position model. The record is from RNAcentral.